Neocallimastix lanati (nom. inval.) is the source of this 71-nucleotide non-coding RNA. NCBI's taxonomy places the organism in Eukaryota, Fungi, Neocallimastigomycota, Neocallimastigomycetes, Neocallimastigales, Neocallimastigaceae. The record is from the annotation of a GenBank genome assembly.
UUUUAUUUGGUAAGUGGAUAAUGCGUCAGACUUAGGAUCUGAAGAUUGCGGGUUCGAGUACCGAUUGAAAU